GACGGAGGGUGCAAGCGUUGUUCGGAAUCAUUGGGCGUAAAGGGCGCGCAGGCGGCCGUGCAUGUCUGGUGUGAAACCCCGGGGCUCAACUCCGGAGGCGCACUGGAAACUGCAUGGCUUGAGUCCGGGAGGGGUCUGUGGAAUUCCUGGUGUAGGGGUGAAAUCCGUAGAGAUCAGGAGGAACACCGAAGGUGAAAACAACAGACUGGACCGGGACUGACGCUGAGGCGCGAAAGCGCGGGUAGCGAACAGG
RNAcentral lists this unclassified non-coding RNA (253 nucleotides) under uncultured Bradymonadales bacterium. RNAcentral describes it as "contains 16S-23S intergenic spacer region". It matches the Rfam family "Bacterial small subunit ribosomal RNA", at positions 524 to 776 of the family's 1533-position model. The record is from RNAcentral. Lineage: Bacteria; Deltaproteobacteria; Bradymonadales.